RNAcentral lists this ribosomal RNA (253 nucleotides) under uncultured bacterium. RNAcentral's name for it is "partial 16S ribosomal RNA". It matches the Rfam family "Bacterial small subunit ribosomal RNA", at positions 524 to 776 of the family's 1533-position model. The record is from RNAcentral.
UACGAAGGGGGCAAGCGUUGUUCGGAAUUACUGGGCGUAAAGGGCGCGUAGGCGGCUUAUCAAGUCAGGCGUGAAAUUCCCGGGCUCAACCUGGGGGCUGCGCUUGAUACUGAUUGGCUUGAAUGCGGGAGAGGAUAGUGGAAUUCCCAGUGUAGAGGUGAAAUUCGUAGAUAUUCGGAAGAACACCAGUGGCGAAGGCGACUAACUGGACAUGUAUUGACGCUGAGGUGCGAAAGCGUGGGGAGCAAACAGG